CCUGAUAGCUCAGCUGAUAAAGAAUCCGCCUGCAAUGCGGAAGACCUAGGUUCAAUCCCUGGGUCAGGA
Molecule: transfer RNA, 69 nt
Filed under: Bos taurus (domestic cattle)
Lineage: Eukaryota; Metazoa; Chordata; Mammalia; Artiodactyla; Bovidae
Also listed under: 4 other names
Rfam family: tRNA
About the family: Transfer RNA (tRNA) molecules are approximately 80 nucleotides in length. Their secondary structure includes four short double-helical elements and three loops (D, anti-codon, and T loops).
Source: Rfam by way of RNAcentral